This is a long non-coding RNA of Ornithorhynchus anatinus (platypus), 177 nucleotides long. RefSeq lists it as uncharacterized. The record is from RefSeq and is a predicted model, not a curated record. Lineage: Eukaryota; Metazoa; Chordata; Mammalia; Monotremata; Ornithorhynchidae. The transcript is spliced from 2 exons.
UUUAGACCCCAGAUCCUUCUGACUCGCAGGCCCAGGCUCUGUCCACUAGACCACGCCGCUUCUCGGGAUUGGAAGAAAUGGCAGUGAGAAUGUACCUGGCAUUGGAACUGAGACAAAAACUGGUUCCUUGGUUGCUGUAGAGAGAUUUUUGGUGAGAGUAAAUGAAAGACCGAUUUC